Molecule: long non-coding RNA, 995 nt
Organism: Panicum virgatum (switchgrass)
Lineage: Eukaryota; Viridiplantae; Streptophyta; Magnoliopsida; Poales; Poaceae
Exons: 2
Source: RefSeq, a predicted model, not a curated record
GAUGAUCUGUUUCUUGGGGUGCCUGGAUGGUCGGCACUGCCCCUCUCCCGUCGCCCCCUUCCUGCCCCUCUCCCGUUCCUCUUCUCCUCCCCUUUUUCUUCCUCUAGGGUUAGGAUUUGGAGAUGGAAUUUUGAGAGCUUGUAUCACGGAUUCAUGGGAAAGGAGGCCCUUCCCUCCUAGUGCCCUCUGGGCUUUUGAAUCGAUUCAAUUCGUUGUCUCUGUGAUCUUGUUUUUCUGCUGGAAUUCUUGUUUUCUCUCUGUUUGUUCUUGGCGCUGGUGCAGGGGGCCUUGGCCCUUUUUGGAGUGCGCGCUGCAGCAAGCAAGAAGAACAAGAGCCAGCACGCACACAGCACAAGCAGCUCAUGCGCAGCACCAGCAGGAAGGCAGCAGGCGGCCAGCGAGCGUGUGCACAGCAGGGUCAGCGACCAAGGGCCUAGGCGCGCAGGUAAUUUUUGUCUUCCUGUGUUGGGGAUCAGAGGCACAUCGACUAGGCAGCAGCAGGAGCUCGGCAUCGGCAACUCCAUCCACCGCACGCAGGCUGCUCGAUUUUUUGCCCACAAGGUUAGGCAGCUCGACUGGUCAACAAGCACAGCAUGCAUAGGAGAACCGAUCGAGUGCUCUUGGCUGGAGCAAUUCUGGCUGACACCCUUGAAGACUUGCAGAGAUGAUAUCUUUUGUAAUCUAAACCUGAGGCAAUGUUAGAAUUGUUGCGUCGAGAGAAUCAACACAACAUUUUUUUCCACCAAGGGAAUUACCACACAUGUUCACAAUGAUUAUUACCCAUGCAUGUUCUUACCGGGACCAAUAUUCAGAUAGAACAUCCUUGGAUGUACCAGUUGGUGGACCUAUAUGUGAGAUGAAUAUUCACAAACAUCAACAUGUGUGAUCAUGUUAGUUAUUGGAGGAGGACAAUUCCUUGUAGAUUAUAGGAAUCGAUUUUUGUGAUGCCAAGCAGCCAAAGGUAGGCUAAUGCAAUCUCCAUUUUGCGCGGCAAA